Molecule: long non-coding RNA, 431 nt
Filed under: Coffea arabica (coffee)
Lineage: Eukaryota; Viridiplantae; Streptophyta; Magnoliopsida; Gentianales; Rubiaceae
Description: long non-coding RNA (CARA_LNC001899)
Source: RNAcentral
UUUUUUCGAGUCUCACAUUUUUGCAUAUUCGUGACCUUUUCAGAUAAUCACUUUUUGGCAUCGUAAUUAAUGCGAUUGGCACCAACUAAAAUUCGAAGAGACAUGUUGACCCCGAUACAUUAGGUCUAGGGUUUGCAUUCAUAUAGUACAUCCAAAUGUGAUAAAUUUUUAGGUUAAAAUAAGAAAAUCUUUGACUAAAUCACACAACUAACUUUGGCUAGAUUGAAAGGGUGCUUUGGAUUUUAUCCUUGCCUUCCCUUUCUUCAAAUGUGACUCCCGAACACUUUUAUCUGAUUUUCGUAGAUUCGGAGUCAUUUAAAAAGGGUUUUCUCUACUUUUUAUUUAAAAUUCAUUUUUUAGCUGACUUGGUACACCUUAACUCAAUAUCAAGUAGCGAUUCCUGUUUUUAUUUAAAACCCUUUUUAAACUUU